CCUCCUAACUUAUAAAUAAUGAACUCAAUUGACUACUACAUAUUUCAACUAGAACCAUAAAAAAUUAACAUGAAAAACUGAAAAUGCACAACAAAACAUUAACAAUAAUCCAUUCAUGCAAGGCGACUUUGGUGUAACAUGCUUUUGAUGAUACAAAUAUUUAAUUAACGUGAAAUUUAACAAUUAUUCUCACAAGAUCGUUCUUGGGUUUCCAACACC
This 219-nucleotide long non-coding RNA is filed under the name Sorghum bicolor (sorghum). RNAcentral's name for it is "long non-coding RNA (SBIC_LNC014775)". Lineage: Eukaryota; Viridiplantae; Streptophyta; Magnoliopsida; Poales; Poaceae. The record is from RNAcentral.